AGAGUUUGAUCCUGGCUCAGGACGAACGCUGGCGGCGUGCUUAACACAUGCAAGUCGAACGAUGAUCCAGAGCUUGCUCGUGAUUAGUGGCGAACGGGUGAGUAACACGUGAGUAACCUGCCCUUGACUCUGGGAUAAGCGUUGGAAACGACGUCUAAUACCGGAUACGACCAGCCCCGCAUCGGGUGUUGGUGGAAAGAAUUUUGGUCAAGGAUGGACUCGCGGCCUAUCAGGUAGUUGGUGAGGUAAUGGCUCACCAAGCCUACGACGGGUAGCCGGCCUGAGAGGGUGACCGGCCACACUGGGACUGAGACACGGCCCAGACUCCUACGGGAGGCAGCAGUGGGGAAUAUUGCACAAUGGGCGAAAGCCUGAUGCAGCAACGCCGCGUGAGGGACGACGGCCUUCGGGUUGUAAACCUCUUUUAGCAGGGAAGAAGCGAAAGUGACGGUACCUGCAGAAAAAGCACCGGCUAACUACGUGCCAGCAGCCGCGGUAAUACGUAGGGUGCAAGCGUUGUCCGGAAUUAUUGGGCGUAAAGAGCUCGUAGGCGGUUUGUCGCGUCUGCUGUGAAAACCCGAGGCUCAACCUCGGGCCUGCAGUGGGUACGGGCAGACUAGAGUGCGGUAGGGGAGAUUGGAAUUCCUGGUGUAGCGGUGGAAUGCGCAGAUAUCAGGAGGAACACCGAUGGCGAAGGCAGAUCUCUGGGCCGUAACUGACGCUGAGGAGCGAAAGGGUGGGGAGCAAACAGGCUUAGAUACCCUGGUAGUCCACCCCGUAAACGUUGGGAACUAGAUGUGGGGACCAUUCCACGGUCUCCGUGUCGCAGCUAACGCAUUAAGUUCCCCGCCUGGGGAGUACGGCCGCAAGGCUAAAACUCAAAGGAAUUGACGGGGGCCCGCACAAGCGGCGGAGCAUGCGGAUUAAUUCGAUGCAACGCGAAGAACCUUACCAAGGCUUGACAUAUACCGGAAACGGCGAGAGAUCGUCGCCCCGCAAGGUCGGUAUACAGGUGGUGCAUGGUUGUCGUCAGCUCGUGUCGUGAGAUGUUGGGUUAAGUCCCGCAACGAGCGCAACCCUCGUUCUAUGUUGCCAGCACGUAAUGGUGGGAACUCAUGGGAUACUGCCGGGGUCAACUCGGAGGAAGGUGGGGACGACGUCAAAUCAUCAUGCCCCUUAUGUCUUGGGCUUCACGCAUGCUACAAUGGCCAGUACAAAGGGCUGCAAUACCGUAAGGUGGAGCGAAUCCCAAAAAGCUGGUCCCAGUUCGGAUUGAGGUCUGCAACUCGACCUCAUGAAGUCGGAGUCGCUAGUAAUCGCAGAUCAGCAACGCUGCGGUGAAUACGUUCCCGGGCCUUGUACACACCGCCCGUCAAGUCAUGAAAGUCGGUAACACCCGAAGCCGGUGGCCUAACCCCUUGUGGGAAGGAGCUGUCUAAGGUGGGAUCGGUAAUUAGGACUAAGUCGUAACAAGGUAACC
Molecule: ribosomal RNA, 1480 nt
Filed under: uncultured soil bacterium
Lineage: Bacteria
Description: bacterial SSU rRNA
Rfam family: Bacterial small subunit ribosomal RNA
Source: RNAcentral